This 218-nucleotide ribosomal RNA is filed under the name uncultured bacterium. RNAcentral's name for it is "partial 16S ribosomal RNA". It matches the Rfam family "Bacterial small subunit ribosomal RNA", at positions 1285 to 1500 of the family's 1533-position model. The record is from RNAcentral.
GUCCCAGUUCGGAUUGCAGGCUGCAACCCGCCUGUAUGAAGUUGGAAUCGCUAGUAAUCGCGGAUCAGCAUGCCGCGGUGAAUACGUUCCCGGGCCUUGUACACACCGCCCGUCACACCAUGAGAGUCGGGAACACCCGAAGUCCGUAGCCUAACUUAUCUGAGAGGGCGCGGCCGAAGGUGGGUUCGAUAAUUGGGGUGAAGUCGUAACAAGGUACC